This is a long non-coding RNA of Musa acuminata AAA Group (dessert banana), 1394 nucleotides long. RefSeq lists it as uncharacterized. The transcript is spliced from 3 exons. Lineage: Eukaryota; Viridiplantae; Streptophyta; Magnoliopsida; Zingiberales; Musaceae. The record is from RefSeq and is a predicted model, not a curated record.
UCGGAUUACUUUUCCUAAUAAUGCGACCCGUUUACGCCCCCGCUUCGUCGGCCUCGAAAACAUGGUGUGGUUUGCCGCAAUAUCGCCCUGAAUCCCAAUUCGGAAUAGUGCUUUAAAAGCUAUUCGAUGGCGUCUUGGAGUUGGCUGAGCAACGAAACGGGGGAGGGAUUUGGUUGAUUGGGGGAUCAAGAAAAGAGGAGGCUAAAUCGCUUCUCCCACCAAAAUUUUAGAAUCUAACAUGGAACAUCCACAGAUGACUACUCAUGAAUGAUCUGAGUAUUCCAGAGUUCACCUUGUACCGAUGGUACUGAUCGACUGCCACAUCUGCAUUGCUGAAGUCCAAAAUCCUCCCUGCCAAAAACACUUUCAAGCUUACGAAACAGAAUUCAGAAUAUGAGUGCUUUUGUCUCUCUCAACGCAAGUCAUACCUGGUCGUCUUGUGAAAGUAUCCCAUAUACUUUUUCCCCUGUUCCCCUCACCAGCAGCUCCUUCAAACUAAGGUUAUCAGCAACUCCAUUAACUUGUGCAGAGCAAGAUGCAGCUGAAUGUAAAAGAGACAUUUCUGCAUGACCUCACACCUGGUAAGCUGAAGAAGCUGUUCCGAAAACGAAACCACUGGGGAAGUCAUCUCUUCUGAUAGCCUCACUGGUUGCAACGAUACUAACAAGGAUAUAGAGUAUUGCUAACGCUGCCAUGGACUUGCUAAGCUUGGGAAGCUUGUGUGUUAUGCUGUUUCUUGCAGGUGCAUAGUAUUUAUGCAUUUAGUAUUAAAGAGGUGCAGGUGGAACAAUGUGUUUUGGAGAUUGAAUGUUUGACAAAGCAAAACUUUUGUUGGAGUGACGAGUCUGCCAUACCGAAUCGUACCGCCAGGUACGGGCGGUACGGUCCGAUAUGCUAACGGCACUGCUACAGUGUAACGCUACCGGUCCGACUGUAGCAGUACAGUGCACUGGAACGUUACGGUUACUGUUGCAGUGCGAGCUCGACGUUGUUGUUGUACAUGAAAAUACACUGAACACGUUCUUUGCGCAGGUGAUCGAGCACAACAUGAAAACACACCGAAGACGUGCCUCUUCCGCAUCAACCUCCAACAUCUUUUGGGCAUAUGAUGGACAUGGCGAUGUAUGUCCAGGUCAACUUCAGGCACUACACGUGGGGAGAGAAGGGAAAAGAAGGAAAUACCAGUCCAAGAGAAGAAAUUUUUUGAUCCUGCCAUCUAUCCGUUUACAAAUAUAAAUUCUAGGAAGGAGAACGCCAACCUUCACAAACUGCUGUUCGUAUGCUCUGUCUUCCCAUUCUUACCUUUCUCAUGGCCUGUGAUAAGUUUGACUGUGUCCCCUACCUUGACAUGUAUUUUAGGCAGCACAAGUAAGACUACUAAGCUGCAACAGCAU